GAUAAACGCUGGCGGCGCACAUAAGACAUGCAAGUCGAACGGAAGUCGUUAUAAAAAGGAUUGAAGAUUUAUCUGAUUGAGAUUUUAUAACAAUGGCUUUAGUGGCGGACUGGUGAGUAACGCGUGAGCAACCUGCCUACUAGAGGGGAAUAACAGUGAGAAAUCAUUGCUAAUACCGCAUAUGCCAUGAACAUCACAUGAUGAAAAUGGGAAAAGAGUAAUCUGCUAGUAGAUGGGCUCGCGUCUGAUUAGAUAGUUGGUGGGGUAACGGCCUACCAAGUCGACGAUCAGUAGCCAGACUGAGAGGUUGAACGGCCACAUUGGGACUGAGAUACGGCCCAGACUCCUACGGGAGGCAGCAGUCGGGAAUAUUGCGCAAUGGAGGAAACUCUGACGCAGUGACGCCGCGUAUAGGAAGAAGGUCUUCGGAUUGUAAACUCCUGUUGUUGGGGAAGAUAAUGACGGUACCCAACAAGGAAGUGAC
This 484-nucleotide ribosomal RNA is filed under the name uncultured bacterium. RNAcentral describes it as "bacterial SSU rRNA". It matches the Rfam family "Bacterial small subunit ribosomal RNA", at positions 28 to 494 of the family's 1533-position model. The record is from RNAcentral.